ACUGGACACGUGCAACUGCCGAAGUUAACGACUAGUGGACGGCUGCCGCGUGCCAUAUCGAGGAGGCGAUGAGUCGUGUUUCCGUCAACGGAGACUUCUUCUAUUGCACCGCCAAGAUGUCCGACUGCGUCUCUCUGCGUGUUGUAAACAGACCCUUUGAGAGUCAUUGCCGACACUAUGGUUGUUGAACAAGUUAUGAUGACCUUAUCAAUGCUUAAUUCACCAAGAUAACACGCAAUUUCAACAUCGUAGUUUCUCACAUUUCCUUGUUUAAUUUAUCAACCAAAAUCGACAAACAAACAAACAUUCUUUGCUUUAGACGCUAACCACCAUCUAAUUAUUAUUUGUUCACUCAUUCAAUCAUUCAACCACCAUCUAUUUAUGAUUCGUUCACUCAUUCAAUCAAUUUCAUUUUACGUUGCAGAAGGCCGCCUAAACAACACAAUAAUACUCCUCGAAAAUCAAAUUACCAGUUAAUGAAUCAUUGUCUUUGACUGAUUCAGCCUUUUAGCGAUCUUUCAACUAGAAAAUAAAUUAUUAAGACAUUUUCUGCUGGCCGAAAAAAAUUACUCGCGUGUCACGAACGUUCUGAAGCGUUGAAUGAAAACCGUGCACUCACGCGAUUGCUGCUCCUAUCACGCCUAGCACCAUUUAGCAAUGUACCAAGGAACAUUUCCGGUAUUAAACGCUAAAUCUCUAGAUAAUUCUUCAGCUGUGAUUGGAGCCUUUGGUAAAAUAUGAAAUAAUAGCUUGAUUAACAUGUUACCGGAAAUCACAGUCCAUUUGGACACUGUUUGAAUCAGUUGGCUGUUGCUUGUGCCAUUUGUCAUUUUGAAUAUCGUAGAUUCAAAAUGGUGUAAAAUAAAAAUAUCGAACUAAAUGAUUUCGGUAAGUGUACGAUGUCAUACCGAAUGGUUAUAGGAAUUGAAGUGAUACCGUUAAAGACCACAUGCUUGCCAUGACAGCUGCCCAUACUUCAGUCCUAUGGGGAAUGUAAACAAGAAAAAAGACCGAUUUGGGACAGCACCAAAUAAGGAAAGAAGACUGACAUGGGCGAAGUAUUUGAACUACUGCAAUAAGCUGAAUUAUCGGCAAACAAAAAUAUCGAUUUAGCUUGUAGACAAUGUUGCAUUUUGAGAAAGAAUUGCAUCUUCUGGUGGAUUGACAACACGGUUCAAGGGCCUCAAGCCAACAAUUUUUUAUCUGCAUACACUUUACAUAUAUUUUUUCAUCUGUUGAAAUGAAUGAGUGAAAAGAUCCUUUGGCACGGGUUUAAAGUCAAACUGAAAUAUAUAUACACAUUUCUUUCACAGGGGCAGGUGACAUCAGGAUGGAGUUAAAUGUAAUUAGUCUUAAGCCAAUUAAGAUGUAGUACUUAUUUGACUCAGAGUACUUGAUAUUAAAGUGUUAAAAACCUG
This is a long non-coding RNA of Actinia tenebrosa (Australian red waratah sea anemone), 1418 nucleotides long. RefSeq lists it as uncharacterized. Lineage: Eukaryota; Metazoa; Cnidaria; Anthozoa; Actiniaria; Actiniidae. The record is from RefSeq and is a predicted model, not a curated record.